UGAGGAAUAUUGGACAAUGGGCGCAAGCCUGAUCCAGCAAUGCCGCGUGCAGGAUGAAGGCCUUCGGGUUGUAAACUGCUUUUGUACGGAGCGAAAAGGUCUGCCCUAAUACGGUGGGCUCAUGACGGUACCGUAAGAAUAAGCACCGGCUAACUACGUGCCAGCAGCCGCGGUAAUACGUAGGGUGCGAGCGUUAAUCGGAAUUACUGAGCGUAAAGCGUGCGCAGGCGGUUAUAUAAGACAGAUGUGAUAUCCCCGGGCUCAACCUGGGACCUGCAUUUGUGACUGUAUAGCUAGAGUACGGUAGAGGGGGAUGGAAUUCCGCGUGUAGCAGUGAAAUGCGUAGAUAUGCGGAGGAACACUGAUGGCGAAGGCAAUCCCCUGGACCUGUACUGACGCUCAUGCACGAAAGCGUGGGGAGCAAACA
Molecule: ribosomal RNA, 427 nt
Filed under: uncultured bacterium
Lineage: Bacteria
Description: bacterial SSU rRNA
Rfam family: Bacterial small subunit ribosomal RNA
Source: RNAcentral